Molecule: long non-coding RNA, 593 nt
Filed under: Mustela putorius furo (domestic ferret)
Lineage: Eukaryota; Metazoa; Chordata; Mammalia; Carnivora; Mustelidae
Description: lncRNA (ENSMPUG00000024975.1)
Source: RNAcentral
AAAACACUGUCGUGCUGUCCGUUUCCGGCGGAGAAGUCACAGACUAGGAGAAAAGAUUUGCCGGUCACGUCUGUGACAAGGGAUCUGGACCUGGACCGUGCGGAGAACUUUCAGAGCUCCACAGCAAGAGAGCACACAGCCCCGUUAGCACGUGGGCAAGACACUUACCGUGGCGCUCCACCGGACGGGGCACAGGUGGUGGCUGACUCCUCCCCCCGCCAUAGCUGGGCUCUGCCCUGCCCUGUACUUCGGGAUUUCAGUCAGGGCCACUGCCCGUGGCGCUUAUCCUGCUUCCACUGUGGAAAAUGUUGAAGAAAAUACUUAUCCUCUCUCAAAUGAAGUCUCAGCAAGCCCUGUGAAUUUACAGCUCAGUCCAAGAUGAACAGGCAUAAUCUGUGGCUCCCUGUAGCAUCUGAAGUUUUGGGAAAUGAAGAAAGCAAGAGUGGUUUCAGCUCUCUUCUGAACUUCUUUGCUUCUUGCAAAUGGCUGUUUCAAGCCGUACCAGGGUAAGGACAGGGAGAAGCACGGUGAACGUCCAAGUGUUCCCUCUUAUGCUUACUGUCGGCUCUUAAAAAAGGUAAUUUAAAAUGUUU